RNAcentral lists this ribosomal RNA (342 nucleotides) under Globigerinita glutinata. RNAcentral describes it as "bacterial SSU rRNA". It matches the Rfam family "Eukaryotic small subunit ribosomal RNA", at positions 1185 to 1383 of the family's 1831-position model. The record is from RNAcentral. Lineage: Eukaryota; Foraminifera; Rotaliida; Globigerinitidae.
GUGGCUUAAUUUGACUCAACGCGGGAAAUCUUACCGGGUCCGGACACACUGAGGAUUGACAGGUAUUAUAUAGCGCGCUUGCGCGUCUAUUGUUAAAUAUGCUAGUCCUUUCAUGAUUAUGUGAUAGGUGGUGCAUGGCCGUUCUUAGUUCGUGGAGUGAUCUGUCUGCUUAAUUGCGUUUCAGAUAAGGAUCUAUAUUCUUUACAGAAGUGUUGCGUAGGCAUUUGACCCCCUUCGCGAGUGCGUGUCUUUUCGCGCUCGCACGCUUUUUACAUUAGGUCCUGAAAGCAACGAACGUGACCGCAACCUCUUGUUGCCUCAUCUCCCUACUUUUUUAGCACU